RNAcentral lists this microRNA precursor (60 nucleotides) under Pristionchus pacificus. RNAcentral's name for it is "microRNA ppc-mir-8353 precursor". The record is from miRBase by way of RNAcentral. Lineage: Eukaryota; Metazoa; Nematoda; Chromadorea; Rhabditida; Neodiplogasteridae.
AUACAAGUCAGAUUCCUUUUCGCAGUAGAUGAAGUUGCGAAAUGAGUCUGACUUGUAUGA